UUCUAGUGCCAUUUUUUCGGUCUAGCGUGAAUUUUAGAAUUAUUGGUGCCAACAACCGCCCAAAGAAUAUCCAAGAAAUUCUACAGUGUACACGAAAGGAUACAGUGCAUGAAUGUUGAAUUACACCGCGCGUGAAAGCUGCUCUAAAAAUUAUGAGACAUGCAUGAAUAAAAUGAGUGCCCUUCCAUGGGAGACCUUUAUUCAAGCAAACCUCUUGGCUACAGGUGUUGUCAAUGGAGUGGCUGUUUUAACCAAGAGUGGGCAAUGUGCUUUUCUUCAUGGACGUUUAUACAAUCUAGAGAAGGUGAAUUGGAAGCAGUUCUUGGAAAUAUUUCAGUAUUCAUCAGAAAAACACAAUGAUCAAAUAUUUGAAAAUGGGUUCCGUCUUCAGUUCCCUGGACAAAGAGAAAUUCAGUACAAAGUUUACCAAAAAACUUACUUGCCUAUGCCACCUCUCAGGGGAACCAGGAAGGGCUGAUAGUGUGUAACCUGCCAUAUGGGAUCCUCAUUAGUACCUUCAGUUACCCCCAGGUGGCAGCAGUGGCGGUGAAGGUGGUGGAGAAUUUCUGUGACAAGUUGAGAGCGUGAAAUGAGACCAAGAGAAAGAUUUAGCAAUUAUAUACUGCUGAAAAUUGGAAGUGGUGUACACUAGGUGCUAUACAGAAUGGCUGGCAUCAUUUUUUGAAGACAUGUUACAGAUAUCCACAGCAGACUUGGACUUUGCAAAGGGUACUGUGGUAGAAUAUAAACACAUAUUAUUACCUCCCAAAACCAGGUCAAGAAUGAAAGACAUGACAAAUUCUGCCCCAAAGUGAGGAAUGCAGACAUCAGAGAAGAGUUGAUCAUGGUAACUGGGUUGACAAGACCAGUAUGAUAAAAGGGGUUCCUCCUAAGUAUAUGUGUAUGUGUUGCCAUGGUAAAAUAGAAACAUGAUUGUUUUUCCUUACUUAAUGAAUCUCAACUCAUAGAACACGCAACCAUAUUUAUGGAUUUACUAUGUAUCAGAGGCAAAAUGAGGGAUGGCUUAAAUGCCACCCUCCCCACUCAGCUUACACGGAAAUAUAUAUUCCGUUGUGAUUGGCUCACUCACACAGAUUAAAAAAAAUGGUAUGUACUUUUAAAUAAAAAGCAUGUGCAAGCAUAUUUCAUUUAAGCCCUCCCUCAUUUUUACACUCACAGAAAUACAAUCAAACAUCAGCUUAACAAGGUAGUCUUUAAUUUCGAAUUCUAUUUCAUAUUAAAAUAUAGGUCAGUCUUAAAUGGGACUUUGAAGUAAAACGUGACAAACAUCUACAAUCUGCUAAUCUCCAAUUUGAAUAAUAACAGAUAAAAUGGCACCUCUUGCUGUAUUCAAACUGUACCAUGCCAAACCGUCUGAACUGUCUUGUCAGAAAUUCAAUCACUUCUUCCAUGUGGUGAAUAUAAAUCAGUUUCCCUCUUAUUAUUUUUACUGCUCUAUUUAAUCCAGUGUUUAAUGAAUACAUUAUACUGUUUCCUUGCCUCUCUUCUCCAAUUCUCCAAGAAGGCAUGAGUAUGUUGGUUAAUCAGAGGCCAAGUCUAGUCUAAAUUUCUGGGUAAAUGCGAGGGGCGGUCAUGUUUGUGCCGUAAUGCUGUGUGCUUAUCCUUAGGCAUUUGUUCUUGACAGAUGUCGGUAAUUAACUGCAUGAAAGGCUCCAAUACAACUGGCCCUGCUCGGUCGACUCCAGUCAGCUCAGCACUAAUGAUGUCAUAGAAUUGAUUGUUGGCUUUGUUUUGCCCUGUGGGCUCAGUUUCCCCCCAUGGAAAUUAACAUUUGACAAAUACCUUGUGCAGUUUAAUUCUAACCAGUUUGUAGACAGUUUGAAAGCACAGUCACCGUUUUCAGAGUCCCAAACUGCUGAACAAUCCCCCCGAUAGUGUGCCUCUGUCACUAAAUUCUGCUCUGCUCCUACGUCUAGGUUCAGACGUAGGUACCUUGUACUUAGUGUGAGAAGGCAACUCCUUUGAGUGCCCAGCCUCCACCUCCAUUCUGACAUCUGACCCUUGAGAUUCUUAAUUCUCAGUAGUCAUGUCAGAUGUACCAGCUGACUCAUCAGUUUUUGUAAUUCUUUGAGGCGUCACUCCUGACAACAAUGCCUCCUCCUCAUCAGAAUCAAUCUCCAUUUCCUCGCCCAUAAUCACCCUUUGGUGAGUUAUGGUAGGAUCCUCUUUGAGCCUAAUGUCCUUUGACAUUUCCAGGCCUGCUGAUGCAGUACUAGGCCCUUGUUUAGCAGGUAAUGGAAUGUGAAUAACAUUUUCACAUAUCCACUUAUGCCGCUCAAAACCAAAUUCUCUCAGGUCUCGAGCCACCUGCCUUUUCCAGUUGUUAUUUUUCUUGCCUUUAGCUAAUUCCAACUGACCCUUGAGGAUAGCCUUUGCUUCCUCAAAGCAUGUCACGGGGGCACAUGGCUAAUCUUUCUGCUAACUUUUUAGCAGAGGCAAGUCGUCCCUGGCGGUUGUCCUCUUUAAAACAUUCCACCAGUCUUCUCCAAUCUUCUGUUCUCGGCAUCUGUACAAAAACAUAAGAGAUUAAGAAAAUAAUUCACUUAAGUUAAUUUAACUGUAAGCAAAUCAAUUCCUCUAAAUCAGUACUUUUACUAUAAUGCACAUGAUGGUAAAAUUACCUGCUUUUCUUCUUCUUUCCCAGGCGUCAUUAUUUUAUCAUAAACAAAAGCCCUUCCUAAUUCAUAGUACUGGCAAGUGAGGACUGUGAAGUGCUGGCUAGUGGUUCUUCUAAACAGGACAUGUCAUUUUGAGAGGCUUCUCCUGUCUCCAAUCCAUCUAGUAACUAAAUAAGAAAUAUAUCUGAUAUGAGUUUUCGAAAGCUACAAUGACAACUAUAUCAAAAUAAACAACUCCCCUUUUGCUGUUGUGAAUUAAAAUUGAUGAGCGGUCAGAAAUUGCACGGUUUUCAUUUUUCGUUACUCUUAUCUACGUAACUGAAAUAAAAUAUCAUGAGUUAAUACGGUGUUGGGAGGCAAAAUAUAAUGUAUAGCACCGGGGCUAUGUAUAAGCGGGUCUAAAUAAAGGAAAAGGGCUUACCUUAACUUGAUGGCUUGCUGAUUCCGUGAUUUCUUGAUUUUACUACUUCUCUCUCAAUUGGCACUGCAGAGCGCCUUAGGCGCCAUGCUCUAACUUGUCACACUCUAUAACACUGCGCAUGCGCCGUGACACGCUUCCGGGUCAUAUAAUGACCCCUCGGCACUACACUCUCCCCCGUUUUACCUUGAAGGACCGUGCCUUCUCGGCCGUAUCAGUGCCGAAUCACAAAAAAGCCCCACUUUCCACCGUGGGAAAGGGGAUUACCCUCCGGUCCCCG
RNAcentral lists this unclassified non-coding RNA (3337 nucleotides) under Lingula anatina. Its description in RNAcentral is "uncharacterized LOC106170429, transcript variant X3". The record is from RNAcentral. Lineage: Eukaryota; Metazoa; Brachiopoda; Lingulata; Lingulida; Lingulidae.